Molecule: long non-coding RNA, 1287 nt
Organism: Ailuropoda melanoleuca (giant panda)
Lineage: Eukaryota; Metazoa; Chordata; Mammalia; Carnivora; Ursidae
Source: Ensembl
CAUCUGGGUCUCAGGGGCACCCUCUGCCUUUAAGGAUGUUGAAGGGUGAAUUAACAGUAUCUCUGCGAUCCAGGCCCUCGGGCACUUUCAGUCUGUCCGUGGCCUGCAUGAGCCACAUGUGAACAUGGCAACGAGGCCAACCCAGGGAUGGAAAGCAUUCCUCCUAAAGACUUGAGAAGCUCUCACUGGGGCGUAGGGAACCUUGGCUCUGGUUCUGACUAUGAUGCUAGUAUCUCCUAUUUUGGUAGCUUCAAGCCAAUCACUUCACCCACCGGAGUCUCUUUUACUUGUAGAACGAAGAGGCUGAGAUUCGGAUUUUGCAGAGGAACAUCUGAGGUGCCAUUUCUGGAUGAGCGAGGAGUUAAGCACCAUCUUGGGACCCGGACAGCCUCAGCAGCCAGUUCUUCUGGGACACUUCUCCGUGGGACUGUCUCUCCGGGAUGGGAUGACUGGCUGGGAAGCAGGCUCUGCUGAGGGUCCUCUUCCUUCAUCGGAGUCGGCAACCCGGCGCGGCCCUGUGCCUGCCGUGGGCAGCAGGGAUGGCUCAGGAGUUCUAGCCCCACCAGGACUGGAGGCCCCGUCGAGGCUCCUACCUUGCCUGAGGAAAAAGUAAGGCUCCAGUAUCCCCAGGGGUACCCCGCUUUCAGCCAGCGGAUGCUGCAGGUGCAAGCAUUCUCCUGGUGCUGUCUGACACCCCUCCUUUCCUCUGAGGACGUGGAGAGUGCAGAGCAGACAGGAAAGACAGACACUGGGGAUGGAGAGGGGGGCGGGGGGCCUUUCGUGAAUAAAGGCAGCUUCAGUUAGUAAGAGACAUAACUGACAAGCUGCAAAAGCAGCACCUACUCAUUAGUCAUUGACUAAAACAUAUAAAUAAUAAAUACCAGGGCCUCCCCGGCCCCCAGGACACGCGCCUGGCGCCUGGCCUGCGGAGUGGGGCCUGCAGUACCGUCACGCCCACAGGGAUGGGCUUUCCGGGGCAGGGCAGCUGGCAACCGGCGGGGGUAGGGUGGGGUGGGCGGGGGGUGUCUUGGCCAAGGAAAGCCUGUCCUGGGGGGGAGCUGGACUGAAGAAGGAAGGGGCCUCGGACCGGGCUCUCCAGUGGAGCAGGGCCUGCCCCCCGAGGCACACCGCAAGGACACGUUUCAGACUUAUGGCAACUCAAGCACUUGGGAGAACACUGUUGUUUGUUUAGGUUUGAACCCAUCUGAUGCUCAGGCUUCCAGCUUCCACCCCGCACGGGAGAGGGGCCUGCUGGCACCUCAGAGGAGGAAGGGCAUGAAUUUAAAA